CAUGCAAGAAUACCAUCAAUAUUAGAACAACUGAGUCCUCUUCUCGUGAUUGCUGCAGUAAGAAUAACAUUUCUGAUAAUUUCUUUAAGGCAAGAACAAAAUAGUAUUUAAAAAAAUUUUAAAGAGAUUUUUAAUGUCUUUUCUAAGUUAUUUAUAGUUGUGCCAUGUAUGUAUAUACUUAAUAAUGAAUUCAAAGUGACUGAGAAAUCAGAAAUUUUCAAUGAUCAAUUUGUGUUUAAGUAGAAUAAUAAAAUAGUUCCAAACAUUUACAGUAAAAUAGAAAAACAUGGAAACAUUUUCUUCAUUACUUUGCAUGAUACUAUAAAUUAAAUGUGGAGUAUCAUCACUUAAAACUUAAAUUUGGGAGCACUUUUCGCAAUAUUACAAGUUCGUCUGAUUAAAGCCCCCCAGUGAUACAGCGGACUUAUAACGCUAGAAUCCGGGUUUCGAUACCCAUGGUGGGUAUAGUACAGAUAGUUGAUCUAAUAUGACCAUAGAAUGUUUCUUCAUUAAAAAAGAACUGUAAAAACAUAUUAUGCAAUUGAAAUUCAUAAAUUACAUGACUAUUCGCAUCGUGCUGGAAUUUUGGACAGUAUAACUUUUGACCUUUUCUCUUAUAGUCUGCCAAUGCAUUACAUUACUAGAGAGAAGUUCUCGACUUUGGCAAGUUCUAAGAAACAUCUACAUUUAGCAGAUUUCUAAUCCUGGUUCAGACGUAUUGUAAAAGAUGAUUGUUUUGACGAUUGAUUUGUCAAUGAAACAUAAAAGCUGAAGUCGAUCUGCAUGAUGUUUCCAGCCUAUUCCGAUAUUCUUUCCUAGGGUUUGGACCACACCUAUGUAAGGAGAUAAGGAAAACAGUUUGAUAGUUUGAAUCAGCAGCCUCAUGUCAAAACUAGUUAACUGGAAACGAAGAAGGUGACGAGGAAGAAUAUUUUGUACGUUUGAAUGAAAACAGGAGAAUACAAACUGAAAAUCAUCCCUAACCGAAACUUGUGCAUUGAAAUAAAAACAAAAAUAUAUCCAAACAGUCCUGGUUACAUUUUUCUGUAAAGCAGGGUAGGAUCAAGGUUCAAAGUUGAG
Limulus polyphemus (Atlantic horseshoe crab) is the source of this 1080-nucleotide long non-coding RNA. RefSeq lists it as uncharacterized. The transcript has 4 exons. The record is from RefSeq and is a predicted model, not a curated record. NCBI's taxonomy places the organism in Eukaryota, Metazoa, Arthropoda, Merostomata, Xiphosura, Limulidae.